CUUAUCUCUUCCCACGUUUCUCCCUCACCCUCUCUCAUCUUAUCUCCUUCCUACUGCUCUUGAGAAGUGUGAGGUUGCUCCAUCGCGGUUAGGGCAGAGGUGCGGAGCGCCGUCGCAGCGUCCAGGAGGGAGCUGUGGAGGCUUGGCCGUCAGGGACCACGGCGCUUGCUCCGGAUGAGCGCAACUGCAGUCAACGAGGUCCUUCCUCUUGGACGAAGCACGAUGCUGAAACGCUGGGCGUGUCGGCGUUUGACGGAUAGCAGCAACAGCGGCACCCGUUGAGGGCACCAGUGCCCGGCGGCUGGCGAGGAGGGAGCAGGAGGGGCGCGGGGGCUGACUUCUUCUGCGACGACAUUGGCGCCUUAAGGCGGGAGGCGGCGGCCGUGGUGGCCACCACACUGUUCAAGGACGGCAGAGCUUGGAGCUGUUGCACCCAACGCACAGUGGCAUGGCGAUGCGCGAGACCGACUGCGGCGGCGCUGGGCUGGAGCAGCGGCGCCCGUACGGCUGCGCGGGCAGCUCGCCGAGCGACCGUCGAUUUUUUUAAAUUUGUUAUUCAAUCUGUGGGACGGGUCAUGCUCUCAUCCGCUCAUAUAAAUUGAUUUGUAGAGCGGCUGAGGGCAUGACCCGCCCCUACAAAUGGAUUUUCAAAGGCAGUUGAGGACAUAACCUGCCUCCACAAAUGGAUUUUUAAGGGCGGGUGAGGGUAUGACCCGCCCCUACAAAUAUUA
Panicum virgatum (switchgrass) is the source of this 731-nucleotide long non-coding RNA. RefSeq lists it as uncharacterized. NCBI's taxonomy places the organism in Eukaryota, Viridiplantae, Streptophyta, Magnoliopsida, Poales, Poaceae. The record is from RefSeq and is a predicted model, not a curated record. The transcript is spliced from 2 exons.